GUCUCAGGCCGUAUCAGCCUGAAGGCGCCCGAUCUCGUCUGAUCUCGGAAGCUAAGCAGGGUCGGGCCUGGUUAGUAUCUUGGAUGGGAGACCACCUGGGGAAUCCCGGGUGCUCGAGGCU
RNAcentral lists this ribosomal RNA (121 nucleotides) under Bison bison bison. The record is from RNAcentral. Lineage: Eukaryota; Metazoa; Chordata; Mammalia; Artiodactyla; Bovidae.